UAUGACUCAACACGAUAUUACUAAAGUUGUAGGAGCAAUUUACAAGAAUUCGUAUGACCCAGCCGAUGAGGAAUAUAUCAUAAAUGAAUUCCUUCGGCGAUUAAAUGAGGCAGCGAAUACAAAUAUUGAAUAGAAGUUGAUUUUUCGUCGGGAAUAUAUGCUAACAAAGCCAGCUUCAUAGAAAACUAAAAUCGAAUGAGGAAUCUAUUAGCGUUGGUUGGCUAUGCCUGAUAACUAAAUAUUAAUGAAAAUAAAGCUGACCAAUUGAAACAGACAAUCUAAAACGGAAACUUUCUCAGUUAUGAGUGUGAAAUCUUACACUAAAUGUAGAUAUAGUGAGAUUUUUGUACGUUUUAGUGAGUUUUUUGGUAGUUUUUGCAUGUUUUAGC
This is a non-coding RNA of Styela clava, 389 nucleotides long. The record is from RefSeq and is a predicted model, not a curated record. Lineage: Eukaryota; Metazoa; Chordata; Ascidiacea; Stolidobranchia; Styelidae.